RNAcentral lists this ribosomal RNA (471 nucleotides) under uncultured organism. RNAcentral's name for it is "bacterial SSU rRNA". It matches the Rfam family "Bacterial small subunit ribosomal RNA", at positions 28 to 507 of the family's 1533-position model. The record is from RNAcentral.
GAUGAACGUUGGCGGUGUGCCUAAUACAUGCAAGUCGAACGGUGAUCUUAUGGGAGCUUGCUUCCAUUUGAUUAUAGUGGCGAACGGGUGAGUAACGCGUUGGUGAUCUGCCUCGAAGUGUGGAAUAACGUUCCGAAAGGGACGCUAAUACCGCAUGUGCUCAAGAUUUUUAGAAAGUUUUGAGUAAAGGAUUUAUUCGCUUCGAGAGGAGCCUGCGUCCCAUCAGCUAGUUGGUAAGGUAACGGCUUACCAAGGCUAUGACGGGUAGGGGACCUGAGAGGGUGGCCCCCCACAAUGGAACUGAAACACGGUCCAUACACCUACGGGUGGCAGCAGUAGGGAAUAUUAGAAAUGGGCGAAAGCCUGAUCUAGCGACACCGCGUGUGCGAUGAAGGCCUUCGGGUUGUAAAGCACUUUUUGGAAGGAAUAGGAAGGAAGGUACUUCCAGAAUAAGUCUCGGCUAACUACGUG